This 200-nucleotide ribosomal RNA is filed under the name Listeria monocytogenes. RNAcentral describes it as "partial 23S ribosomal RNA". It matches the Rfam family "Bacterial large subunit ribosomal RNA", at positions 170 to 364 of the family's 2925-position model. The record is from RNAcentral. Lineage: Bacteria; Bacillati; Bacillota; Bacilli; Caryophanales; Listeriaceae.
GUGAGGAAGGCAGACCCAGGGAACUGAAACAUCUAAGUACCUGGAGGAAGAGAAAGAAAAAUCGAUUUCCUGAGUAGCGGCGAGCGAAACGGAAAGAGCCCAAACCAAGAAGCUUGCUUCUUGGGGUUGUAGGACACUCUAUACGGAGUUACAAAAGAAAGUUAUAAAUGAAGCGGUCUGGAAAGGCCCGCCAAAGACGG